Molecule: long non-coding RNA, 620 nt
Organism: Strigops habroptila (Kakapo)
Lineage: Eukaryota; Metazoa; Chordata; Aves; Psittaciformes; Psittacidae
Exons: 2
Source: RefSeq, a predicted model, not a curated record
CUCAGAAACCGAGGAACCUCCUCUGAGGUCCGAGCGAGGCCCGAGGUUUUUACUUAUCUAAUAUUAACCCUUAUUUCUUUAACAGCAGCAGAAUGCUAGAGCGAAGUACUAAACAAACGAGUACUAUUGCUCCUGAGAAGGCCGGUAAAGCCGCCCGCCGCGCCGGGGGAGCGCCAGGCUCUCCCAGAGCCUUACCUCCUCCUCCCGGCGCCGCCUCAGCGCUUCCCGCCUCCGCCGCUGAGGGGCCGCCCACCCUCGCGCUCAGGCACACCCGGAUCGGCGCGUGCCCCCGAGGUUGAACCCGAUUGGGCGAGGCGCGGAAGGGCGGGGCGGUCGCUAUAUAAAGCGGAGCGAGAGGGUGGCUCUUCCUUUCUGCGGGCGCUGCGGUGCGAGGGUCCGUGUGGCGAGCGGCGGCGAGCGGCCCGGUAAAUAAAGUUGUGUGCACCCCACGAACGUGUCCGGCUGGUUCUUGCGCCCGUUCCCCCGCACUGCCUUUGACCCGGCGGGGUGCCCUGCCUGCGGCACCGCCGGCCAAGCUGUAGUGCUAGAGCGAAGCGCUUGUUCAUAACUGGGGCUGCUCGGCCCGACCCGGGUGGCGCUUUUAAAAGCAAGUGACAGCU